Aedes aegypti (yellow fever mosquito) is the source of this 117-nucleotide non-coding RNA. The record is from Rfam. Lineage: Eukaryota; Metazoa; Arthropoda; Insecta; Diptera; Culicidae.
UGCCCAGCAACUCCUAUCCCUACCUCCUCACGGUACUGGCCGGGGUACGAGUAACCUUAGGGAAGAUCGGGUAACCAACCCCCGGUGGGAACUUUGGUCGUAUGCUGACAGGGAAGG